Molecule: ribosomal RNA, 201 nt
Filed under: uncultured bacterium
Lineage: Bacteria
Description: partial 16S ribosomal RNA
Rfam family: Bacterial small subunit ribosomal RNA
Source: RNAcentral
ACGCUCGACACCUACGGGAGGAGCAGUGGGGAAUAUUGCACAAUGGGGGAAACCCUGAUGCAGCGACGCCGCGUGGAGGAAGAAGGUCUUCGGAUUGUAAACUCCUGUUGUUGGGGAAAAAGAGGAUGGUACCCAACAAGGAAGUGACGGCUAACUACGUGCCAGCAGCCGACGGUAAUCUGAGGCGGGCUGGACGAAGGC